RNAcentral lists this ribosomal RNA (401 nucleotides) under uncultured bacterium. RNAcentral's name for it is "bacterial SSU rRNA". It matches the Rfam family "Bacterial small subunit ribosomal RNA", at positions 355 to 774 of the family's 1533-position model. The record is from RNAcentral.
UGGGGAAUAUUGCACAAUGGGCGAAAGCCUGAUGCAGCAACGCCGCGUGAGCGAUGAAGGCCUUCGGGUCGUAAAGCUCUGUCCUCAAGGAAGAUAAUGACGGUACUUGAGGAGGAAGCCCCGGCUAACUACGUGCCAGCAGCCGCGGUAAUACGUAGGGGGCUAGCGUUAUCCGGAAUUACUGGGCGUAAAGGGUGCGUAGGUGGUUUCUUAAGUCAGAGGUGAAAGGCUACGGCUCAACCGUAGUAAGCCUUUGAAACUGGGAAACUUGAGUGCAGGAGAGGAGAUUGGAAUUCCUAGUGUAGCGGUGAAAUGCGUAGAUAUUAGGAGGAACACCAGUUGCGAAGGCGGAUCUCUGGACUGUAACUGACACUGAGGCACGAAAGCGUGGGGAGCAAACA